AGUCCUAUGACUUCUUUACUGAUUUUGAAUAGUGCUUUGUAUAAUAAUUAUAAUUCUGAUUUAAUUAAUAAUUUUGGCACAAAAAUUUUGUUUUAUAAUGUUGCAGGAUAUAAUUACAGAAAUCCAGAAAUUCCUUCUUUUAUCCAAAAGAAAGAAUUUACAAAUUUUUGGAAUUUGAUUGAUUCCACUGUUAUAGUUUGUCUUAUGGAAAUUUGGCACCUCCAUUCAUCUGUUUAUUCACUUGUUUCAUCAAGAUUUAGGAUUGUUGAAUUUAAGGGUAUAAAGUAACCAGGGGUGGGGAAACCCAGAAACCCAGUGGUGGUCUUAUUGUUAGUAUGGAUUUUAAUUAAGUGUCUAAAAUGAGUCUUCUAAACAAUUCAUGGGUUUUACUUGUGAUACAAUUGGAUUUACAAUCUUUAAAGGACAUUUUAUUAAUGGUAGGUUAUAUUCCACCUGAUAAAAAAUACGAUUCUAAUUUCGUUGAAUCUCUUGGGAUUAUGG
Molecule: long non-coding RNA, 501 nt
Filed under: Androctonus crassicauda
Lineage: Eukaryota; Metazoa; Arthropoda; Arachnida; Scorpiones; Buthidae
Source: RNAcentral